Molecule: unclassified non-coding RNA, 294 nt
Filed under: Hevea brasiliensis (rubber tree)
Lineage: Eukaryota; Viridiplantae; Streptophyta; Magnoliopsida; Malpighiales; Euphorbiaceae
Source: RNAcentral
GCUUAUCACCAAAGAAAUUUACUUUUCAGGAGCUAUUUUUCUUCUCUGUCCCAAUUUUCGUCUCAACUCUCUACCUCACAUUUAUCAUUGUGAAUUAGUUUUUAUCCUGUCCCAUGCAAGACAACUAGUUAAGAUAUGCAUUUGAAGGUCUUUUUUGUUAACUAUACAAUUUAUUUCAAUUUUAUUUUAAUAAUUCUUAUUAUAGUAAAGGUCUCCCUGCCUAGUCUGAUGAAGUCAUUGCCACAAUAUAACAUAAUUUUUUAGUCGAUUUCUUGCGAUGAAGGGACAUUUUCA